GCGAGCGUAGCCAAGCGGUAAGGCAUUGGAUUGUGACUCCUUCAUGCGCGGGUUCAAGUCCCGUCGUUCGCC
Molecule: transfer RNA, 72 nt
Filed under: Polytoma uvella
Lineage: Eukaryota; Viridiplantae; Chlorophyta; Chlorophyceae; Chlamydomonadales; Chlamydomonadaceae
Description: tRNA-His
Rfam family: tRNA
About the family: Transfer RNA (tRNA) molecules are approximately 80 nucleotides in length. Their secondary structure includes four short double-helical elements and three loops (D, anti-codon, and T loops).
Source: RNAcentral